Molecule: transfer RNA, 75 nt
Filed under: Candidatus Syntropharchaeum caldarium
Lineage: Archaea; Methanobacteriati; Halobacteriota; Candidatus Syntropharchaeia; Candidatus Syntropharchaeales
Description: Candidatus Syntrophoarchaeum caldarius tRNA-Gly
Rfam family: tRNA
About the family: Transfer RNA (tRNA) molecules are approximately 80 nucleotides in length. Their secondary structure includes four short double-helical elements and three loops (D, anti-codon, and T loops).
Source: RNAcentral
UGCGCCGAUAGUGUAGCGGUUAUCACCGAGGCUUGCCAAGCCUCAAACUCGGGUUCGAAUCCCGGUCGGCGCAUC